AUGAGCAGAGAUUCGUUGCUUCAUUUGCUCGAGCAGACUACCACCCAUCUCAGCCACCGGCGGCGACCUCAGAUGGGCGCACGGGCGCGCCGCGCCGCCCACCACCGCGCUCGCCUCCGCCUCCGCCACUGCCACCUUCUCCUCCUCCUCCCGCUGCUGCUCCUCUUCCUCCUCCCGCCCCUCUUCGCGCUCCUCCUCCGCCGCGCCAACUCCCUGGGCCGCCAGUGCCUACCCCCCGCCGCAGGGCGCCGCCCCCUCGCCGGGCAGCGGCUCAGCUUCUCUAUCGUCACGCUCUCCGACGAGGGCCUGUCGGGCCGAGGAGUGCGGGGGCGGUCUUUCCGCGGCGUGCUGGCGGCCACCGCGCGGAACAAGCGCGCCUACGCGGCCGCGCACGGGUAUGGCCUCGCCGCGCUGCCCCCCGGCGCGGUCGACCCCGGCCGCCCGCCCGCCUGGAGCAAGGUCCUCGCCCUCCGCGCCCGCCUGCGCCGCCACCACUGGCUCUUCUGGAACGACGCGGACACGCUGGUUACCAACCCUGACAUCUCGUUGGAGGAGAUUUUGUUCUCCGUGAUUGGGCAUAGUGAUUUUGAUGCAUCGCCUGAUCUCAUUCUGACAGAGGAUAUCAAUGGGGUUAAUGCCGGACUGUUCUUCAUAAGGAGGUCGAAAUGGAGUGAGAGAUUUUUGGAUACAUGGUGGAACCAUACAUCAUUUGUACAAUUUGGUUCCACAAAAAGUGGGGAUAAUGCAGCACUGAAGCAUAUCGUGGAUCACUUGUCACCUGAAGAAACACAAGCACACGUCCGCAUAGCAAAAAUGCAGUGCCUCUUCAAUUCAUACCCUUGGGUUGCUACAUGGAAAUCAGUUCACCGCCUGAUCUUCCACCCGUCCACUACAUGGAAAGGGGCUUAUUCAGAUGGAGAUUUCAUGGUCCAUUUUGCCGGCCUAAAUGACAAGCGAGGCUGGACAUCAAGAAUUCUUAGAGAGAUAACUCACCGAUGA
This 999-nucleotide ribosomal RNA is filed under the name Triticum aestivum (bread wheat). Its description in RNAcentral is "partial small subunit ribosomal RNA". The record is from RNAcentral. Lineage: Eukaryota; Viridiplantae; Streptophyta; Magnoliopsida; Poales; Poaceae.